RNAcentral lists this ribosomal RNA (253 nucleotides) under uncultured bacterium. RNAcentral describes it as "partial 16S ribosomal RNA". It matches the Rfam family "Bacterial small subunit ribosomal RNA", at positions 524 to 776 of the family's 1533-position model. The record is from RNAcentral.
UACGGAGGGUGCGAGCGUUGUCCGGAUUUAUUGGGUUUAAAGGGUGCGUAGGCGGCCUGUUAAGUCCGGGGUGAAAGCCCACUGCUCAACAGUGGAACGGCCCUGGAUACUGGCAGGCUUGAAUCCAGUCGAGGGUGGCGGAAUGGAGGCUGUAGCGGUGAAAUGCAUAGAUAGCCUCCAGAACACCGAUUGCGAAGGCAGCUGCCUAGACUGGUAUUGACGCUCAGGCACGAAAGCGUGGGGAGCGAACAGG